RNAcentral lists this ribosomal RNA (253 nucleotides) under uncultured bacterium. RNAcentral's name for it is "partial 16S ribosomal RNA". It matches the Rfam family "Bacterial small subunit ribosomal RNA", at positions 524 to 776 of the family's 1533-position model. The record is from RNAcentral.
UACGUAGGGGGCAAGCGUUGUCCGGAAUUAUUGGGCGUAAAGAGCUCGUAUGCGGUUCGUCGCGUCGGCUGUGAAAACCCGGAGCUCAACUCCGGGCCUGCAGUCGAUACGGGCGGACUUGAGUGUUGCAGGGGAGACUGGAAUUCCUGGUGUAGCGGUGAAAUGCGCAGAUAUCAGGAGGAACACCGGUGGCGAAGGCGGGUCUCUGGGCAACUACUGACGCUGAGGAGCGAAAGCGUGGGGAGCGAACAGG